RNAcentral lists this ribosomal RNA (247 nucleotides) under uncultured Lactobacillus sp. RNAcentral describes it as "partial 16S ribosomal RNA". It matches the Rfam family "Bacterial small subunit ribosomal RNA", at positions 116 to 356 of the family's 1533-position model. The record is from RNAcentral. Lineage: Bacteria; Bacillati; Bacillota; Bacilli; Lactobacillales; Lactobacillaceae.
CGUGGGGAACCUGCCCCAUAGUCUGGGAUACCACUUGGAAACAGGUGCUAAUACCGGAUAAGAAAGCGGAUCGCAUGAUCAGCUUUUAAAAGGCGGCGUAAGCUGUCGCUAUGGGAUGGCCCCGCGGUGCAUUAGCUAGUUGGUAAGGUAAAGGCUUACCAAGGCGAUGAUGCAUAGCCGAGUUGAGAGACUGAUCGGCCACAUUGGGACUGAGACACGGCCCAAACUCCUACGGGAGGCAGCAGCG